GAUGAAGAACGCAGCGAAAUGCGAUAAGUAAUGAGAAUUGCAGAAUUCAGUGGAUCAUCGAAUCUUUGAACGCACAUUGCGCCCCUUGGUAUUCCGAGGGGCAUGCCUGUUCGAGCGUCAUUUCAACCCUCAAGCUCUGCUUGGUCUUGGGCCUGGCCGUGAUGGCCGGUCUUAAAAUCAGUGGCGGUGCCGUCGCAUGCUCCAAGCGUAGUACAUCUCUCGCUCUGGAAACUUGGCGGUGCCUGCCAGACAACCCCUAAUUGUCUCUUUCGGUUGACCUCGGAUCAGGUAGGGAUACCCGCUGAACUUAAGCAUAUCAAUAAGCGGAGGA
This 331-nucleotide unclassified non-coding RNA is filed under the name soil metagenome. RNAcentral's name for it is "partial contains 5.8S ribosomal RNA, internal transcribed spacer 2, and large subunit ribosomal RNA". The stretch from base 1 to 120 matches the Rfam family "5.8S ribosomal RNA", at positions 35 to 154 of the family's 154-position model. The record is from RNAcentral.